RNAcentral lists this ribosomal RNA (588 nucleotides) under uncultured bacterium. RNAcentral's name for it is "bacterial SSU rRNA". It matches the Rfam family "Bacterial small subunit ribosomal RNA", at positions 338 to 916 of the family's 1533-position model. The record is from RNAcentral.
CCUACGGGAGGCAGCAGUGGGGAAUUUUGGACAAUGGGCGCAAGCCUGAUCCAGCCAUGCCGCGUGCAGGAUGAAGGCCUUCGGGUUGUAAACUGCUUUUGUACGGAACGAAAAGACUCUGGUUAAUACCUGGGGUCCAUGACGGUACCGUAAGAAUAAGCACCGGCUAACUACGUGCCAGCAGCCGCGGUAAUACGUAGGGUGCGAGCGUUAAUCGGAAUUACUGGGCGUAAAGCGUGCGCAGGCGGUUAUAUAAGACAGAUGUGAAAUCCCCGGGCUCAACCUGGGAACUGCAUUUGUGACUGUAUAGCUAGAGUACGGCAGAGGGGGAUGGAAUUCCGCGUGUAGCAGUGAAAUGCGUAGAUAUGCGGAGGAACACCGAUGGCGAAGGCAAUCCCCUGGGCCUGUACUGACGCUCAUGCACGAAAGCGUGGGGAGCAAACAGGAUUAGAUACCCUGGUAGUCCACGCCCUAAACGAUGUCAACUGGUUGUUGGGUCUUCACUGACUCAGUAACGAAGCUAACGCGUGAAGUUGACCGCCUGGGGAGUACGGCCGCGAAGGUUGAAACGUCAAAUGAAAUUGACGG